Molecule: ribosomal RNA, 189 nt
Filed under: uncultured bacterium
Lineage: Bacteria
Description: partial 16S ribosomal RNA
Rfam family: Bacterial small subunit ribosomal RNA
Source: RNAcentral
CCUACGGGAGGCAGCAGUAGGGAAUAUUGGACAAUGGGCGCAAGCCUGAUCCAGCCAUCCCGCGUGAAGGAUGAAGGUCCUCUGGAUUGUAAACUUCUUUUCUUCGGGAAUAAAAACUGGGGUUCUCCUCAGCUUGAAGGUACCGAAGGAAUAAGCACCGGCUAACUCCGUGCCAGCAGCCGCGGUAAU